Molecule: ribosomal RNA, 253 nt
Filed under: uncultured bacterium
Lineage: Bacteria
Description: partial 16S ribosomal RNA
Rfam family: Bacterial small subunit ribosomal RNA
Source: RNAcentral
UACGAAGGGGGCUAGCGUUGCUCGGAAUUACUGGGCGUAAAGGGCGCGUAGGCGGACAGUUUAGUCAGAGGUGAAAGCCCAGGGCUCAACCUUGGAAUUGCCUUUGAUACUGGCUGUCUUGAGUACGGGAGAGGUGUGUGGAACUCCGAGUGUAGAGGUGAAAUUCGUAGAUAUUCGGAAGAACACCAGUGGCGAAGGCGACACACUGGCCCGUUACUGACGCUGAGGCGCGAAAGCGUGGGUAGCAAACAGG